AUGUAUCACUUUCUGUGCGGUGUGACUGAAUUUUAUACUGAUCAACUGCAAUAGGGACCAAAAUUUCAAGAGAUUGUUAAACUAGAAAUUAAAUUUUCUGUUUCUUGUGCAGUGAUCUUAGCAACAACCACAUUGGAGGGCCAUUCCAUUCACUGUGCUGCCAUUGUGAAUUCACAGACCCUUGAAGAAGUUGCAAGACUUAAAAAGAUCUUUGCUUUUCUAGAUCUGAUGUUCACUUGUUCAAUUUUGAUUUUCGCUCUCUGCUGUUUACUUCUUAGAUGACCCUUUUUUCUGAUUGCUCAUUUUUGUAAAGAGAAUCUGUUGUCUUUUUUAUUCCUCUUCUGCUGUCUAAUUUUCUCUUUAAUCCCAAAACAAAAAAAUCAUUGAGCUGGUGUGAGUAUAUUAUUGUCACCAUAAUUUUUGUUAUUGUGAAAGCCAUGUUAUAGUUUGACAGAUUAAGUACAUGUGUUGAAUGAGUUUCCUUUGUCCCUUUUGUGUUUCUUGUGUAGUUGCAUUAGCAAUUUUUCAUGCUUAAAACCUACUUUACUUGUACAAUAUACUUGUUUGUUUACCUUUUCAAGAAUUUUGUAUUUGUCUUUAUCCUGAUUAAAGGUCAGUUUGUACGGUGUUUCUUU
Non-coding RNA from Arachis ipaensis, 635 nucleotides. The record is from RefSeq and is a predicted model, not a curated record. NCBI's taxonomy places the organism in Eukaryota, Viridiplantae, Streptophyta, Magnoliopsida, Fabales, Fabaceae.